CACGCUGUAAACGAUGGGCACUAGGUGUCGGAGGUGUCGACUCCUCCGGUGCCAAAGCUAACGCAUUAAGUGCCCCGCCUGGGGAGUACGGCCGCAAGGCUAAAACUCAAAGGAAUUGACGGGGACCCGCACAAGCAGCGGAGCAUGUGGUUCAAUUCGACGCAACGCGAAGAACCUUACCUGGGCUUGACAUGUAGGUGACAACCGUGGAAACACGGUCUCCCUUCGGGGCACCUUCACAGGUGGUGCAUGGCUGUCGUCAGCUCGUGCCGUGAGGUGUUGGGU
RNAcentral lists this ribosomal RNA (285 nucleotides) under uncultured bacterium. Its description in RNAcentral is "partial 16S ribosomal RNA". It matches the Rfam family "Bacterial small subunit ribosomal RNA", at positions 796 to 1080 of the family's 1533-position model. The record is from RNAcentral.